Molecule: ribosomal RNA, 253 nt
Filed under: uncultured bacterium
Lineage: Bacteria
Description: partial 16S ribosomal RNA
Rfam family: Bacterial small subunit ribosomal RNA
Source: RNAcentral
GACGGAGGAUGCAAGUGUUAUCCGGAAUCACUGGGCGUAAAGCGUCUGUAGGUGGUUUAAUAAGUCAACUGUUAAAUCUUGAGGCUCAACCUCAAAAUCGCAGUCGAAACUAUUAGGCUAGAGUACAGUAGGGGUAAAGGGAAUUUCCAGUGGAGCGGUGAAAUGCGUAGAGAUUGGAAAGAACACCGAUGGCGAAGGCACUUUACUGGGCUAUUACUAACACUCAGAGACGAAAGCUAGGGUAGCAAAUGGG